GACAGAGGGUGCAAACGUUGUUCGGAAUUACUGGGCGUAAAGCGCGUGUAGGCGGCCCUGCAAGUCGGAUGUGAAAUCCCACGGCUCAACCGUGGAACGGCCUCGGAUACGGGCGGCCUCGAGGGGGGUAGGGGCAUCUGGAACUGUGAGUGGAGCGGUGAAAUGCGUUGAUAUUCACAGGAACUCCGGUGGCGAAGGCGAGGUGCUGGACCCCAUCUGACGCUGAGGCGCGAAAGCCAGGGGAGCGAACGGG
Molecule: ribosomal RNA, 253 nt
Filed under: uncultured bacterium
Lineage: Bacteria
Description: partial 16S ribosomal RNA
Rfam family: Bacterial small subunit ribosomal RNA
Source: RNAcentral